UAUAUAUACAUAAAUGUGUAUUUGUGUAUAGGAAGACAGACAGAGAUGGUGAAGGAAGAAAGCGGAAUGAUGACGAUUCACAUACAGCAUAAGGAAGCCGGAAUAGGCCAACGGCGGCGGAAACUCAGCUUUACAACGGAGAAGAGUCUCCCCUUGCGAAGGAUCUUUCUCGACUUCUGCUAUCAACUCAACCUCGAUUAUGACGACAUUCGCUUUCGUUUUGAUGGCAGGCGACUAAACAAAGACAAAAGUGCAGAGGAAUGUGAAAUAGAAGACGGUGCUGUCAUCGAGGCUUUCCGUUGUCUAUGUGGUGGUGAAGAAAGCGGAUUGAUCACGAUUCACAUACGGAUUGAGCAGUUCGGAAUAGGCCAACGGUGGCGGAAACUCAGCUUUACAACGGAGAAGAGUCUCCCCAUGCGAAGGAUCUUUCUCGACUUCUGCGAUCAACUCAACCUCCGUUGUAAUGACUUUGCCUACAUUCUUGUUGCCAGGAACGAAGCCAGGUCACUAGACAAAGACAAAACUGCAGAGGAAUAUGGAAUAGAAGACGGUGAUGUCAUCGACGCUAUCCCUCAUCUGUAUGGUUGAGUGUAAUCCAUAACAUCUCUAUCAAGUUAUGGUUAGUCAGCAGCAAAAAGAAAAAAAUUGUGAUAUUUAUCGAAACUACCUACAUUCAUUGAUCACACUUCACUGCCGUUUCAAUAUUUAUUCUUCAAUCAACAACACAGUGCAGUAUUGUAUUUCAACAUAGAAUAGAAUAGAAUAGAAUAGAAGAAACAAAUUAUAAUGAGCAUAAGGUGAUACAAGCAGCACUAUUUCAUUAGGGACCAAAGAAAAAGAAAAAGAAAAGAAAAAAGAGCUAGAAAAGUAAUUGAAACAAAUAUGUAGGAAAGGUGGAUAGUAUCAAAAACUCCAUUUUCAUCCAUCAGGAUGACUUCCAGACCAAACCAGAAUAGACAUUAAUUUCAUGCAAUUAGCCCUUUAACUUAACGGCCGUUUAACAUCGUUAGGGCAAAGGGUUUAAUUGCACCAAAUUAAGAACUUCGGAAGUUUAGUUGAACUCAAGUCGAGUAUAAGGUGCUAUACGUGAUACGAGUAUCUUCUCGUCGACCACGGCGGCAGCGAACUUCUUCCUUGGAAAGGUCAUCCCGGCCUUGGGCACUAGCGUCCAUGUCCACGUGUCGCACCACAGCAUCGACAUUCGGUCGAUGAUGUAUAUUUUCCGGUCAAUUAAGACCAAUCAAAAAUGCGAGAAGAGAGAGAAAGCAGGGACGUUAUGGAAGAGGGUGUGGUGGCGGAGGUGGAGGAGGUGGAAGGUGGGGGAGUUGAGGAGGUAGGCCUAGCGGCAACAGACUGAAGAGAGAGAAGAGAGGGUGGAGUGAGGGACUCUAAAGAGGCAUUCUGGGACAAGGUCAUCGGGGAGGCUCGAAAUGGUGGUGUCGGCGCCGCCGAUAAUGGUGGUGGAGAGGACGGAGGGGUGGUGGGGCUGCUGGGGGUUGGGGAAGCAGAAUUUCAUCAGCCAUGAGAAGUGUCGGGAUGUGCACGAGUCAAUGCUGCAGCGACGGCGACGGUGGAGACGUGUUUCUAGCGAACUUGGCAAAGAAGAAGGCGUGGUCUCACCACCAACGAAAUUAAAAAUAAAAUAAAAUUAAAAUAGUUAACAGUGUUAAACAGCAGUUAAUUCGGAGGGGCAAAUUGCACAAAACUAAGGACUUCGGGGGUUUAGUUGAACCGACCUCGACCAUAGAGUGCUAGACGUAAUAAAGACUUCUAUGUUAAGGGCGUAUUUGAUAUUUAACUCUUGAUUUUAUUUAAGAGAAAAGUACUGAUUUUAAUUAGCUCACUCUUGCUCUCAAGACAUAAGCUCAACCAAAAUUAGGGAUGUGUAUAUAAGAGUAGGUUUAUUUAUAAUUCAUAUAUUACAGUAAGAGUCAAUGCCAUUUUAUCUUUUGCAGUAAAAUAGAGAAAAUAUUGGAGAGAUUUAAUAUAAUUCUACAUUGCUUUAUUGUAGAACUUGCAGUAAUAUACUUCAUUCGUCCCUUUUUUUUUCCACAAAAUCUUGGGUACACCCGAUUGUACCGUAUAAUCAGGUUGACCCGUAUCCAGAAUAGUUUUAUUGAUGUGAAUUGGGUUAAGAUAUGAAUUCAAAUCAGGGUACGGGUCAAAGUCUAAGUGAAGGUGCAACCCAGUUGUAUAUUACACAUGGGUGCACCUAAAACCACCUCGUUUUUUUUAUUGGCCGUUCCUCAAAUAACUUUAUAUCAAUUUUGAGAUACUAUCUUAUCACUAAUCAUACAUUAUUUAUUCUUACUUUUCACAUUUUCAUCAUUUUUAAUACUAAUUAUAACACAAUUUCAUAAUUUUCAAUACUAAUUAUAACAUUUUUUCACCAUUAUAAAUAUACUCAAUAUUUUUGUCUUAAAACCCAUGCCUCUCCUUCCUCUUGAAAAGUUAUUUGAGGGACGGAGGUAGUAGAACACAUGCAAAUUGGCUUAUUCAGUGAAGCUUAUUUAUAAACAAAAUUGGGUACAAACAACUUCAUAUUGGGCUGGGCCCAAUAUAGUUUCCCUUUUAAGCAUGGGCUACUAAUGGACCAAUCAAGCCCAUUUUUAGAUCUAAGGGUUGGGUAAUUCUAUCCAUAGCCCCCAUUUUACUCCGUGUAGCCAACAGUUAGAAUAAUAAUAAUAAAUAAAUAUAAAUUGACUAUUUCACCUUAUAAUCCAUAACCCCCAAAAUUAAAUAGCCUAUAGCUAAAGUAAUAAAAUAGUAAACAAUUAAACACCUGCUUGACCCUAUCUUUUUUGCUCCCACACUCCCUACAUACACAACCAUUCUUUUCUCUUCUUCACCACCGGUUUCCUUUCUAAUCUUGGAGUCUCAUUCCUUUCAAGAAAACACUCUUCCCUAUAUCAUGAUGCUUCCACGAGUAGAGUUACGAAUGCAAACACAAUCUCCACAUUUAUGUGUGAUAAGAAAUAUGUGUUGCUCAUGGAUCAGGUCGCCAAAUUCGGAGUGAAAGAAAAACACAAGGAUAAGAAGGUAGUGGUUUGUUCCUCGGAGAAGGAGGUGCCCCACUCGAUGCCGGAGCACAAGGUGGAGAUACAGAGGCUGGAAGAGGGCGAGGCGAUGGCGCUGAUCGAGUACGUAUGUGGGAAGUUGUACGCCGAAAUAGUGAGAUCGCCAAGAGGAUCAUCGAGUGCUGCGGAGGGAAUUCGCUGCUGAUUCACCUUGUGACUGUUGGGCUCAAGGACAAGAAAGAUGAUUACUCGUUGAAUAAUAUGGGCUAUAAGGCAUUUAAUUUAGGGGCUAUGAGCUAUAGGGUUAAAUAAUAAAUUAAAAAUAUUUGAAUAGUAGAUAACGAAAUGUUAAAGAUUUAUAAAAGACAUUGAUUUUUAAAGCAAAUAAUAUAUUAGAGUGUUAUAAGUAUUUAUCUCACUUUUAUCAUGCAUAGCAAAUGAGACUAGGGCUGGAAAAAUAUACCGAAAACUCGGUAUACCGGCCAUACCGUACCGUAAAAUACCGCAAAAUACCGAAUUUAAGGUAUACCGGUUUUUUUGGUAAGGUAUGAUACCGUACCGUAGAUUUACGGUAAGGUAAAGGUAUGGAUUUUCCAAAUACCGGGGUAUACCGGUGUAUACCGAUACCGCAGUAUAUAUCGAAAAAAUCAAUAAAUACCGUAUUAAAGGUAUAUACCAGAAUACGGUAUGAUAUCGUAUUACUGGUAUACCGAAUAUUACUGCAUAUACCGGUGAUGCGGUAUCAUACCUUAUUCUGGUAUACCUUAAUAUUCGGUAUAUACCGGUAAUAAGGUACAAUACCUUAUUCUGAUAUACCGUAGUUGUCCGUAUAUAUUGGUAUACCGAAAAUCGCGGUAUAUAUCGUAUCAAAAUCUAUAGUUUUAAAAUAUAUAAUAUUUAUUUUUAUGUCUAUAUUUUUAAAAAUAUUUAUAAAUUUUAUAAAAUGAUGUAUAUAAUCUAUAUUAUGUGAAUAUAUACAAUUGUACAUGAAUUUAUAAAUAUCAUCAAAUGAUACAAAAAUAAAUAAAAUAUAGUAUAUAGAAUAAGUCAUACAAUAAAAUAAAAUUGUUUAUUUUGAUAUUAUAGUAUAGUUAUAAUAUAUAACUAAAAUUAUUGUUUUACAAUAGAUUAUACAUCUAACUUAUAAUAGUUACAUAUAUAAUAGCAUAGUUAUAAUAUUAGUAUUAUAUUAUAAAUAAUAUUACGUCUAACAUAUAAAUUAUAUGUAACUUAUAACAUCUAUAUAAUUUACUAUAUAUUACAUGAAUGCAUACAAGUAUGCGAAUAUAAAUAUCAUCAAAUGAUAUAAAAGUGAAUAAAAUAUAAUAUAGUAUGUAAGUUAUAUAAUUUAAUAUAACUGAAUUAUUUAUAUUGAUAUCAUAACACAGUUAUAAUAUAAUAUUAUAUAUUAUAUAACUAAGAUUAUUGUACAGUUAUAAUAUAAUAUUCUAUAUUAUAUAACUAAGAUUAUUGUUCUACAAUAAAUUAUACAUCUGAUGUGUAGCAUCUAUGUAUAUAACAGCAUAGCUAUAAUUAAUAUUGAUAUUAUAUUAUAACUUAGAUUACAUCUAACUUAUAAAUCUCAUAUAACUUAUAACAUCUAUAUAGUAUAUAGUAUAUACUAUAUAACUUAUAAAUUUAUAAAUAUCAUCAAAUGAUACAAAAACAAAUAAAAUAUAGUAUAUAGUAUAAGUUAUACAAUAAAAUAAAAUUAUUUAUUUUGGUAUUAUAGUAUAGUUAUAAUAUAUAACUAAAAUUAUUGUUUUACAAUAAAUUAUACAUCUAACCUAUAAUAGUUACAUAUAUAAUAGCAUAGUUAUAAUAUUAGUAUUAUAUUAUAAAUAAUAUUACUUCUAAUAUAUAAAUUAUAUGUAACUUAUAACAUUUAUAUAAUUUAUUAUAUAUUACAUGAAUGCAUACAAGUAUGCGAAUAUAAAGUACGGUAUACCAAUUGAAUUUUUUCGUAUAUUGAUAAUACCGAUUAUUUUGGUUAUACCGUUAAAGUGCGGUAUACCGUGAAAGUACGAUAUACCGAAAUUCGGUAAGGUAUACCGAAAUAAAGGUACGGUAAAGGUUUUGUAUAUUCUCCAUACCGUACUAAGGUAUACCGAACUAAGGUAUACCGUAGGUAAAGGUAAGGUAAAGGUAUGAAUNUAUGGUUUAUCCUUUAUAGUUUAAUAGUUAUUUAAGUAGUAGUAUGCAUUAGGAUUCUUCAUCAUAUAAGUAACUAUUUUUUAUUAUAUACUUUUAAUAAAUUAAUAUUUUAAUUUUGCUACAAUCUUUGGAAUUAAAAUUAAUUAAGAUGAAACCUAUAAAAUAAAUAUGAAGACAAAAUUAGGUGAUGUUUAAUUUAAUUAAAUUAAAUUUUAAUUUUAUGAGUAUUGAUUAAUCAAUAAUUGAUUCAAAAAAUACAUUAAAAUGAUAAAUAUUGCUAUAAAAUAAAAUAAAAUAUAUAUUUACACGCAUAACAAUUUAUUCAUUAAAAUAAUUCCUUUUUACGUGCGAACGCACGUCAUCUCUGCUAGUAUACAUAAAUGUGUAUUUGUGUAUAGGAAGACAGACAGAGAUGGUGAAGGAAGAAAGCGGAAUGAUGACGAUUCACAUACAGAUUCAGCAGUUCGGAAUAGGCCAACGGUGGCGGAAACUGAGCUUUACAACGGAGAAGAGUCUCCCCAUGCGAAGGAUCUUUCUCGACUUCUGCGAUCAACUCAACCUCCGUUGUAAUGACUUUGCCUACAUUCUUGUUGCCAGGAACGAAGCCAGGUCACUAGACAAAGACAAAACUGCAGAGGAAUAUGGAAUAGAAGACGGUGAUGUCAUCGACGCUAUCCCUCAUAUGUAUGGUUGAGUGUGAUCUCCUCGUCUUCUUAGUUCUCUCUCUCUAAUUAGGGUAUAUAGGUGGAGUUCCAUUUAUAUGUAAUCC
This 5940-nucleotide long non-coding RNA is filed under the name Salvia miltiorrhiza (redroot sage). Its description in RNAcentral is "long non-coding RNA (SMIL_LNC005063)". The record is from RNAcentral. Lineage: Eukaryota; Viridiplantae; Streptophyta; Magnoliopsida; Lamiales; Lamiaceae.